CCUUGCAAAGGAUUUUUCUGAAUAUCCUUUGCUCUAUAGGAAACUCAUGUUCUGUGUGGAAGACUCCAGCUGUCUGGACACCUUUACUACCCAGUAACAGCAGAACACAUGGAGCUACUCAACAGUAGAAGAACCUCAAAUGUGGACUGGAAUGACAUGAGGACAAAGACUAUUCUGCUUCCCCUAAAAAGAAACAAAAACAGAGCCUAUAGCAGGAGUCAUAGUAUUCAUGGAUUGAGGCAGUAGCAUGUACCAUCAUUGAGAAUUUAUUUUUGAAGACAGGAGAAACAUCUUCAGAGAUCCUAGAGGGUACACACCUUU
Onychomys torridus (southern grasshopper mouse) is the source of this 321-nucleotide long non-coding RNA. RefSeq lists it as uncharacterized. The transcript has 3 exons. Lineage: Eukaryota; Metazoa; Chordata; Mammalia; Rodentia; Cricetidae. The record is from RefSeq and is a predicted model, not a curated record.